Molecule: ribosomal RNA, 460 nt
Filed under: uncultured bacterium
Lineage: Bacteria
Description: partial 16S ribosomal RNA
Rfam family: Bacterial small subunit ribosomal RNA
Source: RNAcentral
CCUACGGGUGGCAGCAGUGAGGAAUAUUGGUCAAUGGACGAGAGUCUGAACCAGCCAAGUAGCGUGAAGGAUGACUGCCCUAUGGGUUGUAAACUUCUUUUAUAUGGGAAUAAAAUGUUCCACGUGUGGGUUUUUGUAUGUACCAUAUGAAUAAGGAUCGGCUAACUCCGUGCCAGCAGCCGCGGUAAUACGGAGGAUCCGAGCGUUAUCCGGAUUUAUUGGGUUUAAAGGGAGCGUAGGUGGGUUGUUAAGUCAGUUGUGAAAGUUUGCGGCGCAACCGUAAAAUUGCAGUUGAUACUGGCAGUCUUGAGUACAGUAGAGGUGGGCGGAAUUCGUGGUGUAGCGGUGAAAUGCUUAGAUAUCACGAAGAACUCCGAUUGCGAAGGCAGCUCACUGGACUGCAACUGACACUGAGGCUCGAAAGUGUGGGUAUCAAACAGGAUUAGAUACCCCUGUAGUC